Non-coding RNA from Macaca mulatta (Rhesus monkey), 1995 nucleotides. Lineage: Eukaryota; Metazoa; Chordata; Mammalia; Primates; Cercopithecidae. The record is from RefSeq and is a predicted model, not a curated record.
CCCGCAGCCCCUUCGCAGGCCCGCGCGCGGCCGGAGCCCUGGGGAGGGCUGUCCUGGCGUCCGCUGCUACUAGCGCCGCGCUCCUCUGACCAAACACUGCGGGAGCCUUCAGUGAGCCGGCUAUUCCAACCUAGCCACAAGUCUGUCCGUCCCGCAGCAGGCGCGGUGAAACGUGCGCGCUGGCGAACUAGGCGGGCUCGGCAGGACGCGGCCGUGCCGUCCCGUGUGGAUUUGGCGCCGGGUGGCCCUGAGGAUGUCGCGCAGAAGCCGUACGGGCCUCGGGACGCAGGCCCGCGUGGCUGCAGCGCACCCGGGGAGGCUCUGGGGGUCCCGAGCAGGCGCAGGCUCGCGAGACCCCCCUGGCCGCUGCGGGGAGCGCUGGGGAGGCGUCCAGAGCGGGCGCCAGAGACCCGCGGGCGCCCGGUGCAGGGGCUGCCGGGGCUGGGGCCCGGGUGUGGGAAGUGCCCGCUCCCGGUAGAUGCUGAAGGCGGAGUUGCCAGGAUUUGCUGAGGACUUUUGGAGGAAUGAGGCGGGGAAGGACGAGCUUGAGAACCGACACCGGAGAGAUGGGGAAGACGGGGGAGGCCUGAGCGCGGGCUGGCAUGGCUGGGGAGGUUGUGCACUGCCCAAGGAUGCUCACUGAGGAGCGUCUUCACGUUUCAUCGUGGGUUCCGUGUUUAUUACGACGACUACCAGCAGCUCCCGAGGAGCAGCGACAGAUGGUGGGGUGGGGGGGCCCAAGCUGACCUCAGGCGGUCGGUCCUCCUUCCCAGGAGCCUCAGCGUGUGUGUCCGCAGGUGUCCCUUUAUUUAGCGCCCCUGGGGGAAUGGGACGUGCCAGAGAUGGAGUGGGCAGAGGCUGCUGCACUGGAUGAAGAGGAAUAUGUGGGAAUCGCAUGUGGGGUGUGCCUGAGGACCAAGGCCUGAACCCUGGGACUCCAACUUGAAGAGGUUUGGAAUCUGCAAAGGAGACCAGAAGGAGCACAGGGGUGCUAGGGGUGGAGGGCUGGAGGAAAAACCAGGAGAGGGGCUUCUGGAGGCCAGGGAGGGCUUGCACACACAUCCGAGGGAGGGAGGGAGCCUGGGUGCAGCAGGGUGGGUCGCUGCCAUUCACCGAGGGCCGGCGGCGCUGGGGCCAGGGGCUGGAGUUUGGAGAGUGAGCAGAGAGCGCGCGGGGCUGUGAACACCAGCUUCUCUUUCAGGUCGAUUUACUGCAAAGGGGAAGGUAAAGGUGGAGGUAACUGAGGAGCAGGGCAAGAGAGGGGUGUGGUUUUCUGUAGGGUCCAGUCCUACAGGGGCUUAGUGAGUGUUCUCCGCGUGUGCGGAAAGAUUGUAAUAAAUAAAGACACAAAACAGAGAGAGAAAGAGAAAGCAGCUGGGCCCCGGGGACCACUACCAUCAAGACGCAGAGACCAGCGGUGGCCCUGAAUGGCUGGGUAGCCGAAGCACAGAGAGAAGGCAGCAUACAUCGGCAUUUUCUUCAAUGCACUUAUGAGAAAGAUCAAAGACUUUAAAACUUUCACUAUGUUUUCUAUCGCUAUCUACUACGAACUUCAAAGAGGAACCAGGAGUACGGGAGGAACAUGAAAGUGGACGAGGAGUGUGACCGUUGAAGCACAGCACCACAGGGAGGGGUUUAGGCCUCCGGAUGACUGCGGGCAGGCCUGGAUAAUAUCCAGCCUUCCACAAGAAGCCGGUGGAGCAGUGUUCCCCGACUCCUCCAAGGAAAGGAGACUCCCUUUCGCGGUCUGCUAAGUAACGGGUGUCUUCCCAGACACUGGCGUUACCGCUUGACCAAGGAGCCCUCACGCGGCCCUUAUGCGGGCGUGAUAGAGGGCUCACCUCUUGCCUUCUACGUCACUUCUCAGGAUGUCCCUUCAGCACCUGACCCUAGGCCCGUCGGUUAUUCCUUGGUUAUAUUAGUAAUGCAACAAAGAGUAAUAUUAAAAGCUAAUGGUUAAUAAUGUUUAUAACAAUGAUUGAUAAUUGUCCAUAA